This 399-nucleotide ribosomal RNA is filed under the name Triticum aestivum (bread wheat). RNAcentral's name for it is "partial small subunit ribosomal RNA". The record is from RNAcentral. Lineage: Eukaryota; Viridiplantae; Streptophyta; Magnoliopsida; Poales; Poaceae.
AUGGCGGAUCGCCCAGUGUCCACCAAGCAGCAAGGGCACACUCAGUCCUACUCUGUUGAUCCCCACUGGUACAUGGACUCUGAGGCCACGGAGCAUCUGACGAGUGAGAUGGGCAAGCUCCAUACUCGCGAACCCUACCAUGGCUCCGACAAAAUCCACACUUCAAAUGGAGCAGGUAUGCAUAUAUCUCAUAUUGGUCAAGCAUCUCUUCUCACUAGGCAUGCAAAUAGGAGUCUUCAACUUCGUAAUGUGCUUAGAGUUCCCUCUGUGACACGUAAUCUUCUUUCUGUUCCUAAACUUACACGUGAUAAUAAUGUGCUUUGUGAAUUUCAUCAUUUUGAUCUUUUUAUUAAGGAUCAGGGCACGAGGGACAUUCUUCUUAGCGGGCGGUUGUGCUAG